UGGUUCUCGAUUCUUCAUUUCCCUUGUUGUCGAUUCCAGUUCCAAAAUAAGCAUAGCCUCCUCCCUUUUGGAACUUUUCAUCGUCGCCGUCCUCUUCAUCGAUUCAAGACCCAUUCAAGAAAUCCUUCUAGUCUGGCUUGACCCUUUGUCUUCCAGUCCUCAUCGAACGCACAACAUAUUCAAGCACAAUCCCCACUAGGUAAACCUCAUCCCCUCUUUUUAAACUUUCAGUUACUAUUGUAUGAGCUACUAAAUCGUCAUUCUUAGGAUAUGUCUGAACCAAAUACCUUGAAAACUCCAUUUGUUCUGCUGAAUGUCUCUAAUAUAAGCCCUUAUUACUGAUUUAUACGGGUCUUUCAACUGACAUUUCUUUAUUAUUGUUAAUACGUCGCCCUCGAUUACCACUGUCGACAAUCCCAUGUUCACCCCCAAUUGCACCACCUGAGAACAUGCAAGAGCCUCAGCUACAAACGAAGACGCUACAUCCUUAUGAAGGACCAAUUUCGAGGCCAGAACCUCUCCUCAUUUCUGACUACCAUUCCCAAUCCCAAUCUAAACUUUUGGGGGUCCUAAGCUGCAUCAAAAUUAAUCUUGAUGGUUGUAUUGUUUGGAGGACUCCAUUCAGUGGCUAAAUAUCCCUUUGUUACCCAUAUUGCACAGCAAAACAAGCGACAUUGGUUGAUUGAACACCUCCUGAAAGCCCAGGGCACUCAUGGAACACAUGAUCAAGACUCUCCACAUCCCUCCCACAUAUGGGACACAGUGUAUUCACCACUAGUCUUUUAUAAUUUAGAUUAGUUAGAGUAGGCAAAAAGUUCCAUGAAAUUUUUCAGACUGUAAUUUUUUGUAUUGCAGAUAGAUUUAGACUCCAAAGUUUCCUGUAAAAAGUUUUGGAAUCAUUCUAAAAACCAAUAGCAUUAGGAUCUGUAUUAGCUACUAAUAGUAGUUUAUAUCCACUUCGAUAGGGGUGUGCAAAUUUCGGGUAAAAUCGAAUUAAUUUCAUUAACCAACCAAAUUCGAUUAAUUGGUCGGUUGACUGAAUUAAUUCGAUCGGGGGCCAGUUAAUAAUUUUUUGGAA
Molecule: long non-coding RNA, 1078 nt
Organism: Gossypium raimondii (Peruvian cotton)
Lineage: Eukaryota; Viridiplantae; Streptophyta; Magnoliopsida; Malvales; Malvaceae
Exons: 3
Source: RefSeq, a predicted model, not a curated record